RNAcentral lists this ribosomal RNA (100 nucleotides) under Acinetobacter pittii. RNAcentral also lists the same sequence under 4 other names. The record is from RNAcentral. Lineage: Bacteria; Pseudomonadati; Pseudomonadota; Gammaproteobacteria; Moraxellales; Moraxellaceae.
AAGAGUGAACCACCUGAUCCCUUCCCGAACUCAGAAGUGAAACCUCUUAGCGCUGAUGGUAGUGUGGGGUUACCCAUGUGAGAGUAAGUCAUCGCCAGCU